GUAGGUGGCAAGCGUUGUCCGGAAUUAUUGGGCGUAAAGCGCGCGCAGGCGGUUCUUUAAGUCUGAUGUGAAAGCCCACGGCUCAACCGUGGAGGGUCAUUGGAAACUGGAGAACUUGAGUACAGAAGAGGAAAGCGGAAUUCCACGUGUAGCGGUGAAAUGCGUAGAGAUGUGGUGGAACACCAGUGGCGAAGGCGGCUUUCUGGUCUGUAACUGACGCUGAGGCGCGAAAGCGUGGGGAGCAAACAGGAUUAGAUACCCUGGUAGUCCACGCCGUAAACGAUGAGUGCUAAGUGUUAGGGGGGUUUCCGCCCCCCUUAGUGCUGCAGCUAACGCAUUAAGCACUCCGCCUGGGAGUACGGCCGCAAGGCUG
This 373-nucleotide ribosomal RNA is filed under the name uncultured organism. RNAcentral describes it as "partial 16S ribosomal RNA". It matches the Rfam family "Bacterial small subunit ribosomal RNA", at positions 527 to 896 of the family's 1533-position model. The record is from RNAcentral.